UGUCAGCUCUCAACAAUAUGACUAUAAAAACAUCUCUAAAAUCUGAGAAGUCUAGCAUCCAUGUCAUAGAGCAAAUAAACUGUUCAAUAUUACACCAUCCACACACGUUUCGCCUGCCAACCACGAUGUUGCUAGAUUGAUCACAUUAUUGACGUCUGUUGAUAAAAUUGAUGCUCCUGGAACUAUCAACCAAUCUCAACAACGCAACGAUCAAAUAGAGGAAAAAUUAUCAGCGCUCGUCAAAUGAAUCUUCAAUAAGCUUUUAACCUCUUGAACCUCCAAUAGCAUCGUAUGCAAGAAGGCAGCUUUUUCAGUGAUGGACCACCCCACUAGAGAGGGUUUAAAAUAAUAUAUACAUCCUAAUUAUCUAAUUAAGUCACAGCAAAGGCUGAGCUGGUGUAGGGUGAAUUUUUAAAUGCAAGACUUUC
Molecule: long non-coding RNA, 428 nt
Organism: Physella acuta
Lineage: Eukaryota; Metazoa; Mollusca; Gastropoda; Physidae
Source: RefSeq, a predicted model, not a curated record